UCCGUAGGUGAACCUGCGGAGGGAUCAUUACACAAAUAUGAAGGCGGGCUGGAACCUCUCGGGGUUACAGCCUUGCUGAAUUAUUCACCCUUGUCUUUUGCGUACUUCUUGUUUCCUUGGUGGGUUCGCCCACCACUAGGACAAACAUAAACCUUUUGUAAUUGCAAUCAGCGUCAGUAACAAAUUAAUAAUUACAACUUUCAACAACGGAUCUCUUGGUUCUGGCAUCGAUGAAGAACGCAGCGAAAUGCGAUAAGUAGUGUGAAUUGCAGAAUUCAGUGAAUCAUCGAAUCUUUGAACGCACAUUGCGCCCUUUGGUAUUCCAAAGGGCAUGCCUGUUCGAGCGUCAUUUGUACCCUCAAGCUUUGCUUGGUGUUGGGCGUCUUGUCUCUAGCUUUGCUGGAGACUCGCCUUAAAGUAAUUGGCAGCCGGCCUACUGGUUUCGGAGCGCAGCACAAGUCGCACUCUCUAUCAGCAAAGGUCUAGCAUCCAUUAAGCCUUUUUUUCAACUUUUGACCUCGGAUCAGGUAGGGAUACCCGCUGAACU
RNAcentral lists this ribosomal RNA (547 nucleotides) under Alternaria sp. MUCL 42464. RNAcentral describes it as "eukaryotic LSU rRNA". The stretch from base 196 to 349 matches the Rfam family "5.8S ribosomal RNA". The record is from RNAcentral. Lineage: Eukaryota; Fungi; Ascomycota; Dothideomycetes; Pleosporales; Pleosporaceae.